RNAcentral lists this ribosomal RNA (454 nucleotides) under uncultured Prevotella sp. Its description in RNAcentral is "partial 16S ribosomal RNA". It matches the Rfam family "Bacterial small subunit ribosomal RNA", at positions 341 to 792 of the family's 1533-position model. Lineage: Bacteria; Pseudomonadati; Bacteroidota; Bacteroidia; Bacteroidales; Prevotellaceae. The record is from RNAcentral.
ACGGAAGGCAGCAGUGAGGAAUAUUGGUCAAUGGGCGGAAGCCUGAACCAGCCAAGUAGCGUGCAGGACGACGGCCCUAUGGGUUGUAAACUGCUUUUGUCAGGGAAUAAAAAGGAUUACGUGUAGUCCAUUGCAUGUACCUGAAGAAUAAGGACCGGCUAAUUCCGUGCCAGCAGCCGCGGUAAUACGGAAGGUCCGGGCGUUAUCCGGAUUUAUUGGGUUUAAAGGGAGCGCAGGCGGCGAUUUAAGCGUGUUGUGAAAUGUAGGAGCUCAACUUCUGCACUGCAGCGCGAACUGGAUUGCUUGAGUACGCGGGAAGUAGGCGGAAUUCGUCAUGUAGCGGUGAAAUGCAUAGAUAUGACGAAGAACGCCGAUUGCGUAGGCAGCAGACCAGGCCGUAAAUGACGCUCAUGCACGAAAGUGCGGGGAUCGAACAGGAUUAGAUACCCUGGUA